This 378-nucleotide ribosomal RNA is filed under the name uncultured eukaryote. Its description in RNAcentral is "partial 18S ribosomal RNA". It matches the Rfam family "Eukaryotic small subunit ribosomal RNA", at positions 592 to 976 of the family's 1831-position model. The record is from RNAcentral.
CAAUAGCGUAUAUUAAAGUUGUUGCAGUUAAAAAGCUCGUAGUUGGAUUUCGGGACGGGCCAGUUGGUCCGCCGCAAGGUGUGUUACUGACUGGUCUGUUCUUCUUCGCAAAGACUGCGUGUGCUCUUCGUUGAGUGUGCGUAGGAUUUACGACGUUUACUUUGAAAAAAUUAGAGUGUUCAAAGCAGGCUAUCGCUUGAAUACAUGAGCAUGGAAUAAUGGAAUAGGACUUUGGUCCUAUUUUGUUGGUUUCUAGGACCGAAGUAAUGAUUAAGAGGGACAAUUGGGGGCAUCCGCAUUUCGUUGUCAGAGGUGAAAUUCUUGGAUUUACGAAAGACGAACAACUGCGAAAGCACUUGCCAAGAGUGUUUUCAUUAA